CCUCGAUUUUUUGAUGUGUUGUGUCAUCGUCGGGUACGGCAAAGUAGCAGAAUGGUUUUUUCGGCUUUUCUGGCUGCUUUUUUCGAACUGUAAGACAAGAUUUUGAACAAUAGCUGAUAAAAUUAAAGAGGGAACUUACAUUCAAUAUA
Non-coding RNA from Caenorhabditis elegans, 149 nucleotides. The record is from Ensembl. Lineage: Eukaryota; Metazoa; Nematoda; Chromadorea; Rhabditida; Rhabditidae.